RNAcentral lists this ribosomal RNA (468 nucleotides) under uncultured bacterium. Its description in RNAcentral is "partial 16S ribosomal RNA". It matches the Rfam family "Bacterial small subunit ribosomal RNA", at positions 28 to 507 of the family's 1533-position model. The record is from RNAcentral.
GACGAACGCUGGCGGCGUGCUUAACACAUGCAAGUCGAACGGAAAGGCCCUGCUUUUGUGGGGUGCUCGAGUGGCGAACGGGUGAGUAACACGUGAGUAACCUGCCCUUGACUUUGGGAUAACUUCAGGAAACUGGGGCUAAUACCGGAUAGGAGCUCCUGCUGCAUGGUGGGGGUUGGAAAGUUUCGGCGGUUGGGGAUGGACUCGCGGCUUAUCGGCUUGUUGGUGGGGUAGUGGCUUACCCAGGCUUUGACGGGUAGCCGGCCUGAGAGGGUGACCGGCCACAUUGGGACUGCGAGACGGACCAGACUCCUACGGGAGGCAGCAGUGGGGAAUAUUGCACAAUGGGAGGAAGCCUGAUGCAGCAACGCCGCGUGCGGGAUGACGGCCUUCGGGUUGUAAACCGCUUUCGCCUGUGACGAAGCGGGAGUGACGGUAAUGGGUAAAGAAGCACCGGCUAACUACGUG